RNAcentral lists this ribosomal RNA (366 nucleotides) under Euphitrea omeia. RNAcentral's name for it is "partial 16S ribosomal RNA". The record is from RNAcentral. Lineage: Eukaryota; Metazoa; Arthropoda; Insecta; Coleoptera; Chrysomelidae.
UUAAAUGGCCGCAGUAUUUUGACUGUGCUAAGGUAGCAUAAUCAUUAGUUUUUUAAUUAAAAGCUAGAAUGAAGGGUUGGAUGAAAAAAUAAUUGUCUCUAAAUAAUUUUAUUAAAAUUUUAUUUUUAAGUUAAAAAGCUUAAAUAAUUUUAAAAGACGAGAAGACCCUAUAGAGUUUAAUAAAAAAUAAUAUAUAAAAUUUAAGUAAUUGAUAUUUUAUAAUAAAUUUUUAUUUGAUUGGGGUGAUUGAAAAAUUUAAAUAACUUUUUUUAUACAUUUAUAUUUAUAAAUAGAUAUUUGAUCCAAUAAUUUUGAUUGAAAGAAAAAAUUACCUUAGGGAUAACAGCGUAAUUUUAUUAAAGAGUU